RNAcentral lists this ribosomal RNA (406 nucleotides) under uncultured bacterium. Its description in RNAcentral is "partial 16S ribosomal RNA". It matches the Rfam family "Bacterial small subunit ribosomal RNA", at positions 29 to 526 of the family's 1533-position model. The record is from RNAcentral.
AUUGAACGCUGGCGGCAGGCUUAACACAUGCAAGUCGAGCGAGCGGCGGACGGGUGAGUAAUGUCUGGGAAACUGCCUGAUGGAGGGGGAUAACUACUGGAAACGGUAGCUAAUACCGCAUACCAUCAGAUGUGCCCAGAUGGGAUUAGCUAGUAGGUGGGGUAAGGGCGCACCUAGGCGACGAUCCCUAGCUGGUCUGAGAGGAGGACCAGCCCAACGUGAAUUGAGACACGGUCCAGACUCCGACGGGAGGCAGCAGGGGGGAAGAUUGCACAAUGGGCGCAAGCCUGAUGCAGCCAUGCCGCGGGGGUGAAGAAGGCCGUCGGGUUGUAAAGCACUUUCAGCGAGGAGGCGUUACUCGCAGAAGAAGCACCGGCUAACUCCGUGCCAGCAGCCGCGGUAAUUC